This 273-nucleotide ribosomal RNA is filed under the name uncultured bacterium. RNAcentral's name for it is "partial 16S ribosomal RNA". It matches the Rfam family "Bacterial small subunit ribosomal RNA", at positions 524 to 796 of the family's 1533-position model. The record is from RNAcentral.
UACAGAGGUCCCAAGCGUUGUUCGGAUUCACUGGGCGUAAAGGGUGCGUAGGUGGUGGGGUAAGUCGGAUGUGAAAUCUCGGAGCUCAACUCCGAAAUGGCAUUGGAAACUACCCUGCUUGAGGGUCGGAGGGGGGACUGGAAUUCUCGGUGUAGCAGUGAAAUGCGUAGAUAUCGAGAGGAACACCAGUGGCGAAGGCGAGUCCCUGGACGACUCCUGACACUGAGGCACGAAAGCUAGGGGAGCAAACAGGAUUAGAAACCCCAGUAGUCC